GACGAACGCUGGCGGCGUGCUUAACACAUGCAAGUCGAACGGAAAGGCCCUGCUUUUGUGGGGUGCUCGAGUGGCGAACGGGUGAGUAACACGUGAGUAACCUGCCCUUGACUUUGGGAUAACUUCAGGAAACUGGGGCUAAUACCGGAUAGGAGCUCCUGCUGCAUGGUGGGGGUUGGAAAGUUUCGGCGGUUGGGGAUGGACUCGCGGCUUAUCAGCUUGUUGGUGGGGUAGUGGCUUACCAAGGCUUUGACGGGUAGCCGGCCUGAGAGGGUGACCGGCCACAUUGGGACUGAGAUACGGCCCAGACUCCUACGGGAGGCAGCAGUGGGGAAUAUUGCACAAUGGGCGGAAGCCUGAUGCAGCAACGCCGCGUGCGGGAUGACGGCCUUUGGGUUGUAAACCGCUUUCGCCUGUGACGAAGCGUGAGUGACGGUAAUGGGUAAAGAAGCACCGGCUAACUACGUG
Molecule: ribosomal RNA, 468 nt
Filed under: uncultured bacterium
Lineage: Bacteria
Description: partial 16S ribosomal RNA
Rfam family: Bacterial small subunit ribosomal RNA
Source: RNAcentral